This 497-nucleotide ribosomal RNA is filed under the name uncultured bacterium. RNAcentral describes it as "partial 16S ribosomal RNA". It matches the Rfam family "Bacterial small subunit ribosomal RNA", at positions 28 to 507 of the family's 1533-position model. The record is from RNAcentral.
GAUGAACGCUGGCGGCGUGCCUAAUACAUGCAAGUCGAGCGAACGGACGAGAAGCUUGCUUCUCUGAUAUUAGCGGCGGACGGGUGAGUAACACGUGGAUAACCUACCUAUAAGACUGGGAUAACUUCGGGAAUCCGUAGCUAAUACCGGAUAAUAUUUUGAACCGCAUGGUUCAAAAGUGAAAGACGGUCUUGCUGUCACUUAUAGAUGGAUCCGCGCUGCAUUAGCUAGUUGGUAAGGUAACGGCUUACCAAGGCAACGAUGCAUAGCCGACCUGAGAGGGUGAUCGGCCACACUGGAACUGAGACACGGUCCAGACUCCUACGGGAGGCAGCAGUAGGGAAUCUUCCGCAAUGGGCGAAAGCCUGACGGAGCAACGCCGCGUGAGUGAUGAAGGUCUUCGGAUCGUAAAACUCUGUUAUUAGGGAAGAACAUAUGUGUAAGUAACUGUGCACAUCUUGACGGUACCUAAUCAGAAAGCCACGGCUAACUACGUG